CUGGCCUCCCUCCACCAGUUGCCUGUGUACUUUAGAGUUGAUUUUAAGAUUCUGCUAUUUGUUUUCAAAUCUCUAAAUGGUGUCGCCCCUGCCCUACCAUUCUGCAUUCCGCUGUGCCUCCGGUCGGCUGACCAGCUGCUCCUGGAGGUGGCAAAGACAUGGGAACUGCAGGAGGAUUACUCCUUAAGAAGAAGAAGAAGAAUCACUUUUUAUUGUCAUGACCAUCCAUGCAUGCACACGAAAUUUGUUCUCUGCAUUUAACCCAUCACAGUGAACACAUACACAUGUUAGUGGAACACACUGGAGCAGAGGGCAGCUGAAGCGCCCGGGGAGCAUUUCUGGGUAUCGGUGUCUUGCUCAAGGACACCACAGCCGUGAUGUUGGCGGAGGGUCCAGUCGGGGUCUUGAACCUAGGUCCCCCACGGUGCCAGGCGAUAAUCUUAACCAUUGGGCCAGGGCUUCUUUAUAUGCAUGUUUUUGGGAGCUGGGAGCAAACCGGAGUACCUGGAGAAAACCCACACAGGCAAACUUCACACAGGCGAGGCCAUAUUUGAACCCAGGUCCUCAGAACUGUGAUGAAGAUGUCCUAACCAGUCGCCCACCGUGCCGUUAAUCCGAGUUCAAUUACUUAAAAUAAUAAUAAUCUUGGAAAUGGUCAAAUGUAGUAACAAAAAAGAGGAGUGACAAUAGAAAGGAGAACACAUGUCUGAUUUGCACACAGUAAAGCAGCAUCUGGAAUCAUUCCAGCUGCGGAAAGGCAGACUGCCAACCUGCGUGUGUUAGCAGAUUGGGUUUAACACGCCAGAUUGAUUGUAAUUGUCUGAUCAAUCCAAUGUUUGUGAGCGCUAAUGCCCUUUAUUAUGGUUUGUUUUCUUUUCAUGCUUUUUCCUCUGCUGAUUCCUCUUCCCUGGGGAAGGUCCGUGUCACCAAUUCUAUUGCAUCAAUUCUUUCCAAAACUGGAGUCUCACUGAGCAAUAUAUGAGAACAUUUGUGUACCCCUUUUUUGAUGUCAAUAAAUGCACCCUAAGAUC
Phyllopteryx taeniolatus (common seadragon) is the source of this 1031-nucleotide long non-coding RNA. RefSeq lists it as uncharacterized. Lineage: Eukaryota; Metazoa; Chordata; Actinopteri; Syngnathiformes; Syngnathidae. The record is from RefSeq and is a predicted model, not a curated record. The transcript has 2 exons.